GAGGCUGGGCAGCCGGCGCGACGCGAGAGAGUUUCGAAGAUCACGAAGCGGUCGAUGGCCGCCGGAGGGAACUGAGAAAUGGUCACGCCGCAGUAAGACAUCGCCUCGGCCACCAAAGACGGAAGCGGAAGAACGAGACCGGCGUCGGCAAAGGGCGUGUAGAGGGCGACCGAGCCCGGCGGCGGAUCAGAGGCAACACGCUCGCCAGCAACAGUGAAG
Molecule: long non-coding RNA, 219 nt
Filed under: Zostera marina
Lineage: Eukaryota; Viridiplantae; Streptophyta; Magnoliopsida; Alismatales; Zosteraceae
Description: long non-coding RNA (ZMAR_LNC004540)
Source: RNAcentral